CCUACGGGGGGCAGCAGUAGGGAAUCUUCCACAAUGGGCGAAAGCCUGAUGGAGCAACGCCGCGUGGGUGAAGAAGGUCUUCGGAUCGUAAAACCCUGUUGUUAGAGAAGAAAGUGCGUGAGAGUAACUGUUCACGUUUCGACGGUAUCUAACCAGACAGCCACGGCUAACUACGUGCCAGCAGCCGCGGUAAUACGUAGGUGGCAAGCGUUAUCCGGAUUUAUUUGGCGUAAAGGGAACGCAGGCGGUCUUUUAAGUCUGAUGUGAAAGCCUUCGGCUUAACCGGAGUAGUGCAUUGGAAACUGGGAGACUUGAGUGCAGAAGAGGAGAGUGGAACUCCAGGUGUAGCGGUGAAAUGCGUAGAUAUAUGGAAGAACACCAGUGGCGAAAGCGGCUCUCUGGGCUGUAACUGACGCUGAGGUUCGAAAGCGUGGGUAGCAAACAGGAUUAGAUACCCCUGUAGUC
RNAcentral lists this ribosomal RNA (465 nucleotides) under uncultured bacterium. RNAcentral describes it as "partial 16S ribosomal RNA". It matches the Rfam family "Bacterial small subunit ribosomal RNA", at positions 338 to 795 of the family's 1533-position model. The record is from RNAcentral.